This 87-nucleotide transfer RNA is filed under the name Escherichia coli. Its description in RNAcentral is "tRNA-Leu". It matches the Rfam family "tRNA". From Rfam's summary of the family: Transfer RNA (tRNA) molecules are approximately 80 nucleotides in length. Their secondary structure includes four short double-helical elements and three loops (D, anti-codon, and T loops). Lineage: Bacteria; Pseudomonadati; Pseudomonadota; Gammaproteobacteria; Enterobacterales; Enterobacteriaceae. The record is from RNAcentral.
CCGGAUGGUGGAAUCGGUAGACACAAGGGAUUUAAAAUCCCUCGGCGUUCGCGCUGUGCGGGUUCAAGUCCCGCUCCGGGUACCAUG